This is a long non-coding RNA of Drosophila yakuba, 1684 nucleotides long. RefSeq lists it as uncharacterized. NCBI's taxonomy places the organism in Eukaryota, Metazoa, Arthropoda, Insecta, Diptera, Drosophilidae. The record is from RefSeq and is a predicted model, not a curated record. The transcript has 2 exons.
GUGGAAGUUCUGGGAAAGCAGUCUAGAUCGUAGUAUAUCGAAUUCAUUGAAUACUUACUUAACCCUAUACCAAUUUCUAUAUUUUAUAUGCUUCAAAAUUGUAACAUUUGUCAAGGAUAAAAUUCAAAGUAGUAAAUAAAUUCAAAUAGUAAAGUGUAAGCCACAACUAAAGUUAAAGGAAAAAUUGAAUGAGGUGAAGCUAAUAACACUGUUAUAAAGAUUUGUCUUGGAGUGCUUGCUAUUUGUUUAUUUUAACUGAACUCCCACACACACAUAGUGAUUGAAAGCAUCCAUAGGCUAAGUGAAUGCUUCUACAGCCACAUCCAGGUGCAGCUGGUGGUAUUAGAUGGCCUAAGCAGACCGACUUACUGGUCACCUGCACAUCCUUAUCCUGCGCCACUCUCUUCCGUCUUUCCACUUUUCUUCGGUCGUUCUUAUUCUCUUUGCCUUGCCGUUUUAUCUAAGCUCAGCUUUGGCAUUGUUAAUACCAACACAUUUUCACAUUUUUACCCGCUUGGAAAAUUUACGUAUUUCCCAGCCCACCGAUGUCUCGAUGCCCCCACCCUGCUGCUGAUGCCACGGCAUUUGGACUUUCCUGCACUUUAGUAAGCGCACAAAUCCGCACGAGAAACGGAUGAAAAAAAAAGGGAUUUUAUCUUUUAGACGCUUGUUGCUUUUGGCUCCUUGAAGUCGCCGUCCGGACAUUUCCGGCUAAAGGAAUACGUAUGCUCGUGUGCUGACGUGGAAUUAUCGCUGGUCCAGAUUUAUACCGGUGCCAACAAUGCUACUGGCUGAUUGUGGGAAUUAACAGCUCCGUUUCUCGGCAACAUUAAUUUAUGGCUUAAGCGGCUAGCGAAAACAGUUAGGGCAAUAUUGAAUUCAGUCGAAACAUUGGUGGCCACAAAUGCUGCACGCUCAUUGAAUGUCCUUUUCUAGGUUUCUUGGGACCUUCCACAAUUUCCACCGAACACCAUCGUUGCCCAGUCAUCUGUGCUGAUUUCCAUGGCAAAUUUCUCCUUUCGCACCAUUCAUUUGCAGCGCCGAACAAUGGAUUCCAAAAAAAAGAAACCGAAAGUGGGAAAAAGUGUCUGCUGCAUUGAGACAAAUUUAAUGAAAUUUCAAAUUGCCAUUCGCCUUCUGUCUAGAUCUCAGGAUGCUUUCGACUCCACUUCGUUGUGUCAAAGCAAAAGGGGGUCGUUCCGGUUUUCUAUUCCAAAAUUUUUACCAUACCUCUAAAGAGUUUUACAUGUAGUGGGUUCUUCGGGGGCUCUUAGACAAUUGAUUCUUUCUAGAGGGUCCCAUUCAACAACUUUUACUGAAUAUACUGAUGUAGCCACAAAACAAAAACAAACAAAACAAUUUGCAACUUGUGGCAGAUUCCAAUACAUAAUCAAAAAAAAACGUUAAUUCCCGGAAAUAAACGAGAAACCAGAAUUGGCGAGUGUGAAUAUCGGAAUCUCUCUUCUCCGCCUUCAUCGUGGGCUUUGCAUGUCGGUCAGGAGUCGACUCAAGUCGCCUCGUUCAGGAUGUCCUUUGUGCCGCUGUGACAGCUGCUCAUUUCACGCUUGGUAAUUUCAAUGAAUUUUGCGAAGAUUCCGCAGAACAUGCCAUGCCACGGCACGCUAUCCACUUAUUUGUAUGCCGGUCAUUAAUUAAAUUUUCUCAUUUAUAUUGGAUACGUCUA